RNAcentral lists this small nuclear RNA (159 nucleotides) under Salvator merianae (Argentine black and white tegu). RNAcentral describes it as "U1 spliceosomal RNA (ENSSMRG00000003052.1)". It matches the Rfam family "U1 spliceosomal RNA". From Rfam's summary of the family: U1 is a small nuclear RNA (snRNA) component of the spliceosome (involved in pre-mRNA splicing). Its 5' end forms complementary base pairs with the 5' splice junction, thus defining the 5' donor site of an intron. Lineage: Eukaryota; Metazoa; Chordata; Lepidosauria; Squamata; Teiidae. The record is from RNAcentral.
AUACUUACUUGGCAGGGGAGACACCAUGAUCAUGAAGGUGGUUUUCCCAGGGUGAGGCUCAUCCAUUGCCCUCCAGGUGUGCUGACCACUGUGAUUUGCCCAAAUGCAGGAAACCCGACUGCAUAAUUUGUGUCUUUAUGCAGAUAAUUUUAUCAUGAU